This 432-nucleotide unclassified non-coding RNA is filed under the name Bombus terrestris (buff-tailed bumblebee). RNAcentral describes it as "misc RNA ENSBTSG00005038554.1". Lineage: Eukaryota; Metazoa; Arthropoda; Insecta; Hymenoptera; Apidae. The record is from RNAcentral.
UAGAAAUGUAAAAUUACCGAUGAAAAUAGGAAAAUGAGUCACAUACAAUUAUACGAUUAGUUUAUGAUUUAAUGUAAUUUUUAUUUUCAUGAUUAUCUUAAGAUCUAAUUCAAUUUUUAGUUUUAGGUGGGUCUCCAGACGCAGCAACCUCCACGCGUCACCGCAAGUGUGAAUACGUGACUACGCUACGAAUUUGAUGGCUAAAAUGCGGAUGUUUGUGGCAAAUAUGGACACAAAUGCAGGUAAACAAAGAAUAUUAAAAGUAAAUUAUGUAACGUAAAUAAUAAACUAUAGAAAUAAAUAGUUAAAUAAAUAAUAAAAGUUACAAAAUUUAGAAGAUACCACAUAUCCUGAUUCAAGUUUUGCUUCCACGUUAUUCAUCGUUAAGCGCUUAUCAAAGAUCUCACUUCAUUUAGUCCAGUGUGAUAAAAU